CUACGGGGGGCUGCAGUGAGGAAUAUUGCACAAUGGGGGGAACCCUGAUGCAGCAACGCCGCGUGGAGGAUGACGCAUUUCGGUGUGUAAACUCCUUUUAUAUGUCAAGAAAAUGACGGUAGCAUAUGAAUAAGCACCGGCUAACUCCGUGCCAGCAGCCGCGGUAAUACGGAGGGUGCAAGCGUUACUCGGAAUCACUGGGCGUAAAGGACGCGUAGGCGGGAUAGAAAGUCAGGUGUGAAAUCCUAUGGCUCAACCAUAGAACUGCACUUGAAACUUCUAACCUAGAGUAUGGGAGGGGAAGAUGGAAUUAGGGGUGUAGGGGUAAAAUCCGUAGAUAUCACUAGGAAUACCAAAAGCGAAGGCGAUCUUCUGGAACAAUACUGACGCUAAGGCGUGAAAGCGUGGGGAGCAAACAGGAUUAGAUACCCGGGUAGUC
RNAcentral lists this ribosomal RNA (439 nucleotides) under uncultured bacterium. RNAcentral describes it as "partial 16S ribosomal RNA". It matches the Rfam family "Bacterial small subunit ribosomal RNA", at positions 339 to 795 of the family's 1533-position model. The record is from RNAcentral.